UAGGGAAUCUUCGGCAAUGGACGGAAGUCUGACCGAGCAACGCCGCGUGAGUGAAGAAGGUUUUCGGAUCGUAAAGCUCUGUUGUUAGAGAAGAACGUUGGUAGGAGUGGAAAAUCUACCAAGUGACGGUAACUAACCAGAAAGGGACGGCUAACUACGUGCCAGCAGCCGCGGUAAUACGUAGGUCCCGAGCGUUGUCCGGAUUUAUUGGGCGUAAAGCGAGCGCAGGCGGUUCUUUAAGUCUGAAGUUAAAGGCAGUGGCUUAACCAUUGUACGCUUUGGAAACUGGAGGACUUGAGUGCAGAAGGGGAGAGUGGAAUUCCAUGGGUAGCGGUGAAAUGCGUAGAUAUAUGGAGGAACACCGGUGGCGAAAGGGGCUAUCUGGUCUGUAACUGACGCUGAGGCUCGAAAGCGUGGGGAGCAAACAGG
RNAcentral lists this ribosomal RNA (429 nucleotides) under Bacillota bacterium. RNAcentral's name for it is "Firmicutes bacterium partial 16S ribosomal RNA". It matches the Rfam family "Bacterial small subunit ribosomal RNA", at positions 355 to 776 of the family's 1533-position model. Lineage: Bacteria; Bacillati; Bacillota. The record is from RNAcentral.